GGAAAAUCUAGCUUGGGCAAUUCUUGGGCAGUCUUUAACUCAAACAUCCAAAAGCCUUUCAUAAUAAUGCUUUCGCGCUCGAAUGAAACUGUCUCGAAAACUGUUUGGGGGUCAAACCUCACGGGGGUUCGAAUCCCCCCCUCUCCG
This 147-nucleotide transfer RNA is filed under the name Nodosilinea sp. LEGE 07088. RNAcentral describes it as "tRNA-OTHER". The record is from RNAcentral. Lineage: Bacteria; Bacillati; Cyanobacteriota; Cyanophyceae; Nodosilineales; Nodosilineaceae.